Non-coding RNA from Paramuricea clavata, 462 nucleotides. The record is from the annotation of a GenBank genome assembly. NCBI's taxonomy places the organism in Eukaryota, Metazoa, Cnidaria, Anthozoa, Malacalcyonacea, Plexauridae.
ACUAUAUAAUAUAACUUUUCGGAGGAAGCGUUAGUCUUAACUUCAAACUGUUGCGGGUUCUCAGUGUAUGUAGUGGUCUUGAAAUACACAUCCUUUGUGGUAGAUUCUCACUAGUCUAAACUUCAAAUUGUUGGUUCUCAGUGUAGGUAGUGGUCUUGAAAUACACGUUCUUUAUGGUAGAUUCUCACUAGUCUAAACUUCAAACUGUUGGUUCUCUGUGUAGGUAGUGGUUUUGAAAUACACGUUCUUUGUGGCCGAGAUUCUCACUAGUCUAAACUUCAAACUGUUGGUUCUCAGUGUAGGUAGUGGUCUUGAAAUACACGUCCUUUGUGGUAGAUUCUCACUAGUCUAAACUUCAAACUGUUGGUUCUCAGUGUAGGUAUAGUAGUCUUGAAGUACACGUCCUAAAAGCAACAUUAAGAUUCGAUGUGUUUUCGUUGAGGCAAUUUGUAGCUACUUAUA